Molecule: ribosomal RNA, 504 nt
Filed under: uncultured bacterium
Lineage: Bacteria
Description: partial 16S ribosomal RNA
Rfam family: Bacterial small subunit ribosomal RNA
Source: RNAcentral
AUUGAACGCUGGCGGCAGGCCUAACACAUGCAAGUCGAACGGUAGCACAGAGAGCUUGCUCUCGGGUGACGAGUGGCGGACGGGUGAGUAAUGUCUGGGAAACUGCCCGAUGGAGGGGGAUAACUACUGGAAACGGUAGCUAAUACCGCAUAACGUCGCAAGACCAAAGUGGGGGACCUUCGGGCCUCACACCAUCGGAUGUGCCCAGAUGGGAUUAGCUAGUAGGUGGGGUAAUGGCUCACCUAGGCGACGAUCCCUAGCUGGUCUGAGAGGAUGACCAGCCACACUGGAACUGAGACACGGUCCAGACUCCUACGGGGGGCAGCAGUGGGGAAUAUUGCACAAUGGGCGCAAGCCUGAUGCAGCCAUGCCGCGUGUAUGAAGAAGGCCUUCGGGUUGUAAAGUACUUUCAGCGGGGAGGAAGGCGGUGAAGUUAAUAACUUCACCGAUUGACGUUACCCGCAGAAGAAGCACCGGCUAACUCCGUGCCAGCCGCCGCGGUAA